This 2245-nucleotide long non-coding RNA is filed under the name Anser cygnoides (Swan goose). RNAcentral describes it as "lncRNA (ENSACDG00005000552.1)". Lineage: Eukaryota; Metazoa; Chordata; Aves; Anseriformes; Anatidae. The record is from RNAcentral.
UUCUAGUACAUAAUGUACUGUAGCUCUAAGAAAAUGAAUGCUUACAAGUGUAGAUAUUUAUAUGAGUCAGCAAAGCUGGCAUAAAGUUGAUGACACCUUAUACACCCGAAGGAGCUGACAUUCACUGUUUAGUGGGGAAAAAAAUAAAACCUGAUCUUCAGGAUGAUUACAGUGCUAUAGAUAAAUGCACGAAUGAGUCUAUUUGAAAACAUUAUUUUGUGCUUGCAUAGCAAUUUAUUUAACUCAGAUUGCAAGAAAAAACAAAUGUGAACAUAACCCAUUAAAGGCAUAAGUCAAGAGUAACACAACUCAAUUCAAAAUACUGCAGUUUCAGCUAGUAUUUGCUGAUCUCCUUUAAUCUUUGCUAGCUCUCUUAGGCAGCAGUUUCCUCAGGAUGAACUAGGUCUUCAUUUGAAUAAGAUGCUUGUUGCAACUCCUACAAUGAAUCUGUAAGGGUGCUGUCAUUGUCCCCAUCAUUUUGCUUCAUCUUGAAAAUUCCGUUAUAAAACAAGCACACUCUGUGACCUCAUACCAUGUGUUGCACUUCUCUCUGUUAUUCUGCUUUUCUUUCACCUGAGAAGCUGCAGAUCCCAAAGCAGAAAUUAAGGAAUAGUAAUGAACAAAGACAAAAAAAAAAAUCUCAUUUUAGAGAGUAUCAUUAGAUGUGUUUUUUCCAUGGUUGUCAGUGGGAGUUCUUCAUUUUACCCUUGGUGCAGAUGUUGAAACAUGAAAAUCUCAAAUUAAAGGAACCAAGAGGCACUGCAAGGACUAUUGCAGCUCCAGUUGACUUUCAGAUGCAAGUACACAGGUUUAAACUUCCAACUUGGAGUGGCUCAGCUCUUUUUUGUAAAGAUGCUUUUGCUCUUUCAGUAGCAACAAAUCUUACAUUUUGUGACAAGCUAUUUCCAGGACAACCAGCUGUGAUAUGACAGAAAAUUACAGUUUAAGUGAGGAGGAAAGAGAAGGAGCAGAUGAUAUCUCAUAACCCUGCAAACAAAUCCUGUUGUCAUGAAAAGUAUGCCUAUUAAUAGACUAUAAAGAUGAAGAAAAACAGGUAUGAUUUACAAUUUUUAAAGGACAGUUGCUAAGCUGAAGAUUUUCAAGACUUUGAGCCGCUUUUUGAUAGUGAUAAGCCACUAUCAGUUCUGAAAUACAUCUAGCAAUAGCACUGAAGAAAGAGAUACAGCAUAGGCAGACAAGGAGCACUUUUAAGCCUAAUCACAUGCAAAUUUGAGAUUAAUAGGUUAUAACUGAUUUCAGUGCAUAUGAGGAAUAUGGUGUAAAGCCUUCAUAUAUCUUCAAUUUUAAUUCUGCUUUAAUAUCUUGGUGUGAACAUUCCUUAAAAGAAGACCUCAGAAUGGGGAAUAUAGACUGACUUUUCUACUACCAAAAUCAAUAGAACCAUUUAAAAGGUUAGGGGUUUUGUUACAUAUGCAUCUUCUCCUUAGAAAGAGAAUUGGAGCUGCAAGGUCAUUUCAUGGAAGCCAUUCAGAUGUCCACCUCACAGUCAAACUUCUUCCCCCAAAUAACACAAACAUCUCCUGAACAGUCCUUUAAGCACAACUCUUUAUUUUGUAUAACAAGGCCAUAUACUUACAGAGUUUCCUAAAAACUGUUCCCCAAAAUUAAUUGACCAGUGGGGACUGGAAGAGAUUGCAGGAUCUUUUGGGGCCAUGACUAAAGCUGGGGUGUUUUGUACACACUGGCCUGUCCACACUGGUCUGAAACUCUGGUGCACCUGCACUGUCAGGCUGAAUAGUUACACUCUUUGCCAAGCACCACAUCUUCUCUGGUGAUGAGCUGUGAGUCCCUGUCCAGGUGUCUGGGUAUGGCAGGAAGGAAAUAUAACUUCCCUACGUGUUUUUUAUAAGGCAUCCACUUCCUGUAUUUUAUUAUUAACGUACAUGGAAGACAGCUGAUAAUUUUUACUUAAAUCAAAGUAUGGGUUACAGGUUUGCAUAGCAUAACAUGAACCCCUCCUUAUCUUAUUAUCUUUGCCAUAGAUUUACAGGAACACAGACCUUAAGCCAGAAAGGAAGAUGAUAAAUGAUCUUUUGUACAGUUUUGAACAAACUCCUUCACUUCUUUGUGCCUCCUCUGCGCCAUUUGUGACAUGAUGGUAAUCAGAGGAUAUGUUCAAGCUUAGCAUUUUUCAAGAAAGCAUUUUUCACAUCCCCAAAUAUGGUGAUACAUGUUUAUUCAAUUUUAAAGUACUGUCUUAAUAAUAAAAAUAAUCUGUCUCACA